UCCCGGAUAGCUCAGUCGGUAGAGCAAGCGGCUGUUAACCGCUGGGUCGUAGGUUCGAGUCCUACUCCGGGAGCCA
RNAcentral lists this transfer RNA (76 nucleotides) under Acidicaldus sp. RNAcentral describes it as "tRNA-Asn". It matches the Rfam family "tRNA". Rfam says of the family: Transfer RNA (tRNA) molecules are approximately 80 nucleotides in length. Lineage: Bacteria; Pseudomonadati; Pseudomonadota; Alphaproteobacteria; Acetobacterales; Acetobacteraceae. RNAcentral also lists the same sequence under 8 other names. The record is from RNAcentral.